CUGAUCUUAGCGGCGGACGGGUGAGUAAUGCUUAGGAAUCUGCCUAUUAGUGGGGGACAACAUUUCGAAAGGAAUGCUAAUACCGCAUACGUCCUACGGGAGAAAGCAGGGGAUCUUCGGACCUUGCGCUAAUAGAUGAGCCUAAGUCGGAUUAGCUAGUUGGUGGGGUAAAGGCCUACCAAGGCGACGAUCUGUAGCGGGUCUGAGAGGAUGAUCCGCCACACUGGGACUGAGACACGGCCCAGACUCCUACGGGAGGCAGCAGUGGGGAAUAUUGGACAAUGGGCGCAAGCCUGAUCCAGCCAUGCCGCGUGUGUGAAGAAGGCCUUAUGGUUGUAAAGCACUUUAAGCGAGGAGGAGGCUACUUUAGUUAAUACCUAGAGAUAGUGGACGUUACUCGCAGAAUAAGCACCGGCUAACUCUGUGCCAGCAGCCGCGGUAAUACAGAGGGUGCAAGCGUUAAUCGGAUUUACUGGGCGUAAAGCGCGCGUAGGCGGCUAAUUAAGUCAAAUGUGAAAUCCCCGAGCUUAACUUGGGAAUUGCAUUCGAUACUGGUUAGCUAGAGUGUGGGAGAGGAUGGUAGAAUUCCAGGUGUAGCGGUGAAAUGCGUAGAGAUCUGGAGGAAUACCGAUGGCGAAGGCAGCCAUCUGGCCUAACACUGACGCUGAGGUGCGAAAGCAUGGGGAGCAAACAGGAUUAGAUACCCUGGUAGUCCAUGCCGUAAACGAUGUCUACUAGCCGUUGGGGCCUUUGAGGCUUUAUUGGCGCAGCUAACGCGAUAAGUAGACCGCCUGGGGAGUACGGUCGCAAGACUAAAACUCAAAUGAAUUGACGGGGGCCCGCACAAGCGGUGGAGCAUGUGGUUUAAUUCGAUGCAACGCGAAGAACCUUACCUGGCCUUGACAUAGUAAGAACUUUCCAGAGAUGGAUUGGUGCCUUCGGGAACUUACAUACAGGUGCUGCAUGGCUGUCGUCAACUCAUGUCCUGAGAUGUUGGGUUAAGUCCCGCAACCAACCCAACCCUUUUCCUUAUUUGCCAGCGAGUAAUGU
Molecule: ribosomal RNA, 1050 nt
Filed under: Acinetobacter pittii
Lineage: Bacteria; Pseudomonadati; Pseudomonadota; Gammaproteobacteria; Moraxellales; Moraxellaceae
Description: bacterial SSU rRNA
Rfam family: Bacterial small subunit ribosomal RNA
Source: RNAcentral